RNAcentral lists this ribosomal RNA (454 nucleotides) under uncultured bacterium. RNAcentral describes it as "bacterial SSU rRNA". It matches the Rfam family "Bacterial small subunit ribosomal RNA", at positions 340 to 786 of the family's 1533-position model. The record is from RNAcentral.
UACGGGAGGCAGCAGUGGGGAAUAUUGCACAAUGGGCGCAAGCCUGAUGCAGCCAUGCCGCGUGUAUGAAGAAGGCCUUCGGGUUGUAAAGUACUUUCAGUCGUGAGGAAGGUGUUAAGGUUAAUAACCUUAGCAAUUGACGUUAGCGACAGAAGAAGCACCGGCUAACUCCGUGCCAGCAGCCGCGGUAAUACGGAGGGUGCGAGCGUUAAUCGGAAUUACUGGGCGUAAAGGGCACGCAGGCGGUUAAUUAAGUUGGAUGUGAAAUCCCCGGGCUUAACCUGGAAAUGGCAUUCAAGACUGGUUAGCUAGAGUCUUGUAGAGGGGGUAGAAUUCCGAUGUGUAGCGGUGAAAUGCGUAGAGAUGUGGAGGAAUACCGGUGGCGAAGGCGGCCCCUGGGACAAAGACUGACGCUCAUGUGCGAAAGCGUGGGGAGCAAACAGGAUUAGAUACC